ACCAUUUCCCCAGCCUCCACGGCCUCGCUGAUUUCCUCUUCAUAUGCCCAAGUUCUCUACAAUUUUAACACACUUAAUAACUUAACCAAGUAAACAUCGCUGCUAUUGGAGCAGCCGUAUCAUGAUUCUAUUUGAUGUACCAUCAAUCCAGGAAAUCAUAGUAUAGCUUCUAACCUCAAUUGGCAUAACUUAAUUUCAUCAUUCGCUAAACAUCCC
Molecule: long non-coding RNA, 216 nt
Filed under: Solanum tuberosum (potato)
Lineage: Eukaryota; Viridiplantae; Streptophyta; Magnoliopsida; Solanales; Solanaceae
Description: long non-coding RNA (STUB_LNC006609)
Source: RNAcentral